GUAGGUGAACCUGCGGAAGGAUCAUUACAAAUCAGUGGGGUGUUGGGGGUGGUUGGGUUGUGUGGGCUGGAGUUUGUACGGUGAGUACGGUGAGUACUUGUACUUCUGGUACUUGUGCUUGUACUUUUGCUCCCCUGCCUGCCUGCUACCGCAUCCACACACACUCACACAUAUGUUCGAGACAUUCGUUUGUCUCGUGACACAUUUACGCUUGUCUUGUUUGUCAGAGUAGAUUGAUGGCUAAUAUAGA
This 250-nucleotide unclassified non-coding RNA is filed under the name plant metagenome. RNAcentral's name for it is "partial contains small subunit ribosomal RNA, internal transcribed spacer 1, and 5.8S ribosomal RNA". The record is from RNAcentral.